Molecule: long non-coding RNA, 488 nt
Filed under: Daucus carota (carrot)
Lineage: Eukaryota; Viridiplantae; Streptophyta; Magnoliopsida; Apiales; Apiaceae
Description: long non-coding RNA (DCAR_LNC000437)
Source: RNAcentral
AAGGUUUUGUCAAAUUAUUCUAAUAUUAUAUUCAGAUUGUUGGGAUAUAAGUGGGAUGUGAAUCUCACUGAUCACUAUUAGUGUUAUACUCAUCUUUUCCAACCCCUCGCGGCCUUUUCUCUUUCAUGGGUUAGAGGUCCAACAUUAGUCCCCUCCAAAGUAGUGCCAGAUUUUUACAUGGAUUGAAUUACUUUGGAAAGCAUUUUUACCACAUGUAAUUUUUGUUGCUUGACAAGAUUAUUGUGGCGUGGAUCCGAGGUGAGCGGUUUUUGUAAGGAGGUACAUUGGAUGGUGAGGUUGAUGGCGAUCGUUGUGGCGCCCUCCAAACCCGGGUCAGAAGUUUGGGGUCCACACUUAAUAUAAACCUGUAAUUAAUGAUAUAAUAUAUAUAGUGACCCUUAACUGUCCAUGGAUCGCAACAGGUUAAAGUAUAAAACAAGCCACAACAUAACUUUAAUUAUUACAAACCCAAAUCCCAAAUAUAAAUU